UAUCUUCAGGGCGAGGUGAAAUUCCUCACUGGCGGUACAGUCCGCGAGCGAUGCCUUUUGGCAGAGCAUGAACCGGUGUGAUUCCGGUACCAACGGUUACAGUCCGGAUGGGAGAAGAU
RNAcentral lists this non-coding RNA (119 nucleotides) under bovine gut metagenome. Its description in RNAcentral is "FMN riboswitch (RFN element)". It matches the Rfam family "FMN riboswitch aptamer (RFN element)". Rfam says of the family: The RFN element is a highly conserved domain that is found frequently in the 5'-untranslated regions of prokaryotic mRNAs that encode for flavin mononucleotide (FMN) biosynthesis and transport proteins. This element is a metabolite-dependent riboswitch that directly binds FMN in the absence of proteins. The record is from RNAcentral.